UACGGGGGGGGCAAGCGUUGUUCGGAAUUACUGGGCGUAAAGGGCUCGUAGGCGGCCAACUAAGUCAGACGUGAAAUCCCUCAGCUUAACUGGGGAACUGCGUCUGAUACUGGAUGGCUUGAGAUUGGGAGAGGGAUGCGGAAUUCCAGGUGUAGCGGUGAAAUGCGUAGAUAUCUGGAGGAACACCGGUGGCGAAGGCGGCAUCCUGGACCAACACUGACGCUGAGGAGCGAAAGCCAGGGGAGCAAACGGG
Molecule: ribosomal RNA, 253 nt
Filed under: uncultured bacterium
Lineage: Bacteria
Description: partial 16S ribosomal RNA
Rfam family: Bacterial small subunit ribosomal RNA
Source: RNAcentral